GAUGAACGCUGGCGGCGUGCCUAAUACAUGCAAGUCGAGCGAACAGACGAGGAGCUUGCUCCUCUGACGUUAGCGGCGGACGGGUGAGUAACACGUGGAUAACCUACCUAUCAGACUGGGAUAACUUCGGGAAAACGGAGCUAAUACCGGAUAAUAUAUUGAACCGCAUGGUUCAAUAGUGGAAGACGGUUUUGCUGUCACUUAUAGAUGGAUCCGCGCCGCAUUAGCUAGUUGGUAAGGUAACGGCUUACCAAGGCAACGAUGCGUAGCCGACCUGAGAGGGUGAUCGGCCAGACUGGAACGGAGACACGGUACAGACUCCUACGGGAGGCAGCAGUAGGGAAUCUUCCGCAAUGGGCGAAAGCCUGACGGGGCAACGCGGCGUGGGUGAUGAAGGUCUUCGGAUCGUAAAACUCUGUUAUUAGGGAAGAACAAAUGUGUAAGUAACUAUGCACGUCUUGACGGUACCUAAUCAGAAAGCCACGGCUAACUACGUG
Molecule: ribosomal RNA, 497 nt
Filed under: uncultured bacterium
Lineage: Bacteria
Description: partial 16S ribosomal RNA
Rfam family: Bacterial small subunit ribosomal RNA
Source: RNAcentral